This 400-nucleotide ribosomal RNA is filed under the name uncultured Vampirovibrio sp. Its description in RNAcentral is "bacterial SSU rRNA". It matches the Rfam family "Bacterial small subunit ribosomal RNA", at positions 358 to 774 of the family's 1533-position model. The record is from RNAcentral. Lineage: Bacteria; Bacillati; Candidatus Melainabacteria; Vampirovibriophyceae; Vampirovibrionales; Vampirovibrionaceae.
GGAAUUUUGCGCAAUGGGCGAAAGCCUGACGCAGCAACGCCGCGUGAGUGAUGAAGCCCCUCGGGGUGUAAAACUCUGUCAGUAGGGACAAAUUUUGAUGGUACCUACAGAGGAAGCAUCGGCUAACUACGUGCCAGCAGCCGCGGUAAGACGUAGGAUGCAAGCGUUGUCCGGAAUUAUUGGGCGUAAAGAGUUCGUAGGUGGCAUGUUAAGUCUAGUGUUAAAGCCCGAGGCUCAACUUCGGUUCGGCACUGGAUACUGGCAAGCUAGAGUGCGGUAGAGGCAAGGGGAAUUCCUGGUGUAGCGGUGAAAUGCGUAGAUAUCAGGAGGAACACCGGUGGCGUAAGCGCCUUGCUGGGCCGUAACUGACACUGAGGAACGAAAGCCAGGGUAGCAAAUG